GGGCCGGAAAGCGUGGGGAUCGAUCAGAAUUAGAUAGCCCUUGGUAGUCCACGCGGUAAACUGAUGAAUGUUAGGGGUAGGGGGUAUCGACCCCUCCUGUGCCGGAGUAAACACAAUAAGCAUUCCGCCUGGGGAGUACGGCCGCAAGGUUGAAACUCAAAGGAAUUGACGGGGGCCCGCACAAGCAGCGGAGCAUGUGGUUUAAUUCGACGCAACGCGAAGAACCUUACCAGGUCUUGACAUCGAUGUAAUCCCCAACGAAAUUGGGAGUGGCUUCGGCCGACAGAAGACAGGUGGUGCAUGGUUGUCGUCAGCUCGUGUCGUGAGAUGUUGGGUUAAGUCCCGCAACGAGCGCAACCCUUAUGAUCAGUUACUAACGGGUGAUGCCGAGGACUCUCGCUGAGACUGCCGGGGACAACUCGGAGGAAGGUGGGCUCGACGUCAAAUCAUCAUGCCCCUUAUGACCUGGGCUACACACGUGCUACAAUGGUGAUAACAAAGAGGAGCGAAGGGGUAAGGCGGAGCGGAUCUCAAAAAAAUCAUCUCAGUUCGGAUUGUGUGUGCUGCAACCCGGGACACAUCAACGUUC
RNAcentral lists this ribosomal RNA (589 nucleotides) under uncultured bacterium. Its description in RNAcentral is "bacterial SSU rRNA". It matches the Rfam family "Bacterial small subunit ribosomal RNA", at positions 749 to 1328 of the family's 1533-position model. The record is from RNAcentral.